UACGUAGGGGGCAAGCGUUGUCCGGAUUUAUUGGGCGUAAAGAGCUCGUAGGCGGUUUGGCAAGUCGGGUGUGAAACCUCCAGGCUCAACCUGGAGACGCCACUCGAUACUGCUAUGACUUGAGUCUGGUAGGGGAUCACGGAAUUCCCGGUGUAGCGGUGAAAUGCAUAGAUAUCAGGAGGAACACCGGUGGCGAAGGCGGUGAUCUGGGCCAGUACUGACGCUGAGGAGCGAAAGCGUGGGGAGCGAACAGG
RNAcentral lists this ribosomal RNA (254 nucleotides) under uncultured bacterium. RNAcentral's name for it is "partial 16S ribosomal RNA". It matches the Rfam family "Bacterial small subunit ribosomal RNA", at positions 524 to 776 of the family's 1533-position model. The record is from RNAcentral.